RNAcentral lists this ribosomal RNA (50 nucleotides) under Enterococcus faecium. RNAcentral describes it as "partial 23S ribosomal RNA". Lineage: Bacteria; Bacillati; Bacillota; Bacilli; Lactobacillales; Enterococcaceae. The record is from RNAcentral.
ACAGUGAUGUAUGGAGCGGACUGAUACUAAUCGAUCGAGGACUUAACCAA